AGCGGCAUCCGGGUGAGUAACGCGUGGGCAACCUGCCUCGAAGUCUGGGAUAACCCGGGGAAACCUGGGCUAAUACCGGAUGAGCCCACGAGGUCUUCGGGCCUCGCGGGAAAAGAUGGCCUCUGCUUGCAAGCUAUCGCUACGAGAUGGGCCCGCGUCCCAUUAGCUAGUUGGCGAGGUAACGGCUCACCAAGGCUCCGAUGGGUAGCUGGUCUGAGAGGACGAUCAGCCACACUGGGACUGAGACACGGCCCAGACUCCUACGGGAGGCAGCAGUCGGGAAUCUUGGGCAAUGGGCGCAAGCCUGACCCAGCGACGCCGCGUGAGGGAUGAAGGCCUUCGGGUCGUAAACCUCCGUCAGGAGGGAAGAAUGGCGGUGGGGUGAAUAAUCUCGCUGUCUGACGGUACCUCCGAAGGAAGCGCCGGCUAACUCCGUGCCAGCAGCCGCGGUAAUACGGAGGGCGCAAGCGUUGUUCGGAAUCACUGGGCGUGAAGCGCGUGUAGGCGGCUUGGCAAGUCGGAUGUGAAAUCCCGAGGCUCAACCUCGGAACUGCACUCGAAACUGCCUGGCUCGAGUCCCGGAGAGGGUGGCGGAAUUCCCGGUGUAGGGGUGAAAUCCGUAGAUAUCGGGAGGAACACCAGUGGCGAAGGCGGCCACCUGGACGGUGACUGACGCUGAGACGCGAAAGCGUGGGGAGCAAACAGGAUUAGAUACCCUGGUAGUCCACGC
Molecule: ribosomal RNA, 730 nt
Filed under: uncultured Desulfuromonadales bacterium
Lineage: Bacteria; Pseudomonadati; Thermodesulfobacteriota; Desulfuromonadia; Desulfuromonadales
Description: bacterial SSU rRNA
Rfam family: Bacterial small subunit ribosomal RNA
Source: RNAcentral